UACAGUCAUAUCACAUGGAAACACCGGUUCUCGUGCGAUCACCGUGGUUAAGCAACGUUGAGUUUGGCCAGUACUUACAUAGGUGACCGCGUGAGAAUACCGGGUGCUGUAA
Molecule: non-coding RNA, 112 nt
Organism: Acanthosepion pharaonis
Lineage: Eukaryota; Metazoa; Mollusca; Cephalopoda; Sepiida; Sepiidae
Source: the annotation of a GenBank genome assembly